Molecule: non-coding RNA, 28 nt
Filed under: Mus musculus (house mouse)
Lineage: Eukaryota; Metazoa; Chordata; Mammalia; Rodentia; Muridae
Source: RNAcentral
UACCUUAGUUAGGAAGGAAAUGAUCAGA